RNAcentral lists this non-coding RNA (21 nucleotides) under Caenorhabditis elegans. Lineage: Eukaryota; Metazoa; Nematoda; Chromadorea; Rhabditida; Rhabditidae. The record is from RNAcentral.
UUUCGUUGUGGACAAUUUGGU